RNAcentral lists this ribosomal RNA (210 nucleotides) under Triticum aestivum (bread wheat). Its description in RNAcentral is "partial small subunit ribosomal RNA". The record is from RNAcentral. Lineage: Eukaryota; Viridiplantae; Streptophyta; Magnoliopsida; Poales; Poaceae.
CAUAUCUCCCGGUGGCUGGUGCUGGGCCACCGGACCUGCCCGAUCACGAUGCAGGAGCUUUGGGACGACGCGCUCACCCCCAACGGCACGCUCCGGCAGCUCAUCGCCACCUGGUUCUCCCGCCGGUACACCCUUCAAGAAGCGCUCGGACACUACCACGGCCGCGCCGCGGACCUUGUCCACGGUCCCCCUAUUUACUCGAUAAAUUAG